Molecule: ribosomal RNA, 252 nt
Filed under: uncultured archaeon
Lineage: Archaea
Also listed under: 1 other name
Description: partial 16S ribosomal RNA
Rfam family: Archaeal small subunit ribosomal RNA
Source: RNAcentral
ACCGGCAGCCCAAGUGGUGGCCAUUUUUAUUGGGCCUAAAGCGUUCGUAGCCGGCCUGAUAAGUCUCUGGUGAAAUCCCGCAGCUUAACUGUGGGAAUUGCUGGAGAUACUAUCAGGCUUGAGGUCGGGAGAGGUUAGAGGUACUCCCAGGGUAGGGGUGAAAUCCUAUAAUCCUGGGAGGACCACCUGUGGCGAAGGCGUCUAACUGGAACGAACCUGACGGUGAGUAACGAAAGCCAGGGGCGCGAACCG